CAGCCCAGCUUUGCCUGCCGGUGGCUAAGAAGACUCACCGUAAGGGGCCGGCCCUGUGCCUGGAGGCUCCUGGCUCUGUCUGCAGCGGGUGCCCCGCAGAUAUUCUAGACCAUGUGUUGCAGGUCAUCCCAGUCCAUCACAGCCAUGGAGUGCACAACCGAGCGAGGCUGCGUGUCUAGGAAGUUUCAUCUCGUAAGAGCUGUGAGACACCCACGUAUUCUCUCAGGUGGAGGACAGCCAAGUGACCAGAGUUACAGAAGAGGGAGGAGAGCAGGAGAAAGAAGGGUCUGAACUGACAAAUUCUUCUGGCAGCGCCGAGAGCAAGAGCUGUGGAAUGGCCAGUCCCUGCAGUGAGGAAGGAUCCCUCCGAGCUGUCCCUAACAGAGCAGACCACCAGCAUGUGGUGCUGGGAGCUCAGUGCCCCCGUCAGCUACAUGCGUGAGCCACCACGUAUUGAGGAAGCCUUCCGGAUGAGGAGCAUCGAGAUGCAGCGGGAUGAGCUGUGUGCCAAAGGGCAACAGAGGAGACGUGAGCGGAGCGCUGUAAGAAGGUGGUACCCGAGCCUCAACUUGGCAGCCUGUAAACAGCAGAGGCAGGGCGGGCGAGCAGCCAAGAUGCUGCAAGAGGCUCAGAGGGGCGAAGCCGUGUGCUGAGGAGCGGUCCGAGAAGGCGCCAUGCAGGCAGCCUUUGGAAUUGGAUGAGCCUUUGAGGUGCCACGAGCGAUGACGGCUGCAGCGUCCGACGCUGGAAUUCCUGCAGAGCAGAUGAUGAAGAGGAACCUGGCAACUGCAGGAAUAUCCUGGUUCACUGAUGUGUUUUUUGCUGAGGAUGGAUUCAGACCCCUGCUGUCUGACAGCUAAGUUGAGGGACUGGAGACCACUGCCCUACAGCGUGUAAUUUUGACUUCAGUUGGAAAGAAAUUGUCCAAAGCGGAAAUCUUUCUCGUUCAAAGAAGUUGCAUUUUAUUGAACUUCCCAUCAGAGUGGCUCUUCAGAGGUGAUGUACUUGGCAGUAGAAUUCACC
This is a long non-coding RNA of Gymnogyps californianus (California condor), 1023 nucleotides long. RefSeq lists it as uncharacterized. The transcript has 10 exons. The record is from RefSeq and is a predicted model, not a curated record. Lineage: Eukaryota; Metazoa; Chordata; Aves; Accipitriformes; Cathartidae.